AUUUUUUUAAAAACCAACUUUUUAAUUGGAAUGAUACAGAGAAGGUUAACAUGGCCCCUGUGUAAGGAUGACACACAGAUUUGGGAAAUAUUCCAUAUUUUU
This is a small nuclear RNA of Sciurus vulgaris (Eurasian red squirrel), 102 nucleotides long. Lineage: Eukaryota; Metazoa; Chordata; Mammalia; Rodentia; Sciuridae. The record is from Ensembl.